This 67-nucleotide transfer RNA is filed under the name Propeamussium sp. mt1. Its description in RNAcentral is "tRNA-Tyr". Lineage: Eukaryota; Metazoa; Mollusca; Bivalvia; Pectinida; Propeamussiidae. The record is from RNAcentral.
AGCAGAGUGGCCGAGUAGGUGAGGGGCUGUAAACCUUUUUACGGGGAAAUUUUUUUCUCCUCUGUUA